UUACCUCCUGUUGAUGCCAAAGUCUGAACUUUGCUUCUGCAAGCGGCUGUCAGGGGCAAGGAGCCACCAGGUUACCUCUCAACGACAAACAGCUGACUACUCCAAUAACAGCUUCACUGCCAAAGCGUGAGCUUUCAGGAGAUGCACUUCUAUCCUAUCUAUUUUGGCUACAGAUUUCUGAAGAUGAUCCUACUCAUUUUUUGAAGAUCUAGUUUUCUCUUGCCUGCAAAAGGCAGCCAAGAGAUGCAUACAAAGAGACUGUGCUCUGUAAUUGGAAUAUGCCGUGAAGCAAGUUACUACUAUUGGAAAUGUUAGCUGAGGCAGGCUGCACCUCUUCUUGGAUAUCUGCUAUGGGACACAUGCAGCACAGCUCUGCAACAUCAGCUGCAGCUACAGUCACGUUACAGCUCUUGUACAGCAGAGGAUGGAAACAACUGCUCCCCAGUAAUGUAAAGCUCACGUGUCUUCAUGAUGGAUUAUUGCAAUUGAUUAAAGGGGAAAGAGGAACUCCCCAUCUACUCAUGAAA
Molecule: long non-coding RNA, 527 nt
Organism: Coturnix japonica (Japanese quail)
Lineage: Eukaryota; Metazoa; Chordata; Aves; Galliformes; Phasianidae
Source: RefSeq, a predicted model, not a curated record